RNAcentral lists this ribosomal RNA (383 nucleotides) under Pichia sp. RNAcentral's name for it is "SSU rRNA". It matches the Rfam family "Eukaryotic small subunit ribosomal RNA", at positions 555 to 962 of the family's 1831-position model. RNAcentral also lists the same sequence under 1 other name. The record is from RNAcentral. Lineage: Eukaryota; Fungi; Ascomycota; Pichiomycetes; Pichiales; Pichiaceae.
GCAAGUCUGGUGCCAGCAGCCGCGGUAAUUCCAGCUCCAAUAGCGUAUAUUAAAGUUGUUGCAGUUAAAAAGCUCGUAGUUGAAGUAUGGGCCUGGGCGGGCGGUCUACCUAUGGUGAGUACUGCUGCGGCCGGGUCUUUCCUUCUGGCUAGCCCUUGUGGCGAACCAGGACGAUUACUUUGAGGAAAUUAGAGUGUUCAAAGCAGGCCUUUGCUCGAAUAUAUUAGCAUGGAAUAAUAGAAUAGGACGUAUGGUUCUAUUUUGUUGGUUUCUAGGACCAUCGUAAUGAUUAAUAGGGACGGUCGGGGGCAUCAGUAUUCAGUUGUCAGAGGUGAAAUUCUUGGGUUAACUGAAGACUAACUACUGCGAAAGCAUUUGCCAAA